This is a long non-coding RNA of Homo sapiens (human), 4321 nucleotides long. RefSeq lists it as uncharacterized. NCBI's taxonomy places the organism in Eukaryota, Metazoa, Chordata, Mammalia, Primates, Hominidae. The record is from RefSeq and is a predicted model, not a curated record. The transcript has 3 exons.
AAUGAAUGAGGUGGCAGAAAGUUUUUCGGUUAAAAGGACUAAAAUCCAUUUAAUGCCUGGAUGGACAUCAGAAUUAGGUGACAGAUGAAUCAUGUGCCAGUCAAGGCAAGAAAUGGUCUUUUCCGAAGUGGAUAUAAGCACUAAGUUGAGAGUCUCCUGAUUGUUCCUUAGACUUUCUAGUUCCCACAACCUUGGGGACUCUGUAGGUGCCUACUGGAAUUGUUGUCAUCCUUUCUCUACGACUCCAAGAGAAACUUUAUACUGGAGGAAGAAUAUUCUACCACUUUGGGAUGCUUCCAAAGAAAUGGGAUACCAAAGGAGUGAACUUCAGGUCAUUGGAAGUGGCCAAGCUGGAGGGCGACCUAUGGAGACAUGACCUUCAGUUCUUCCUGAGAUCGAUAAAGCUUAAAAGAAAAGAAAAAGCCAACUCAGCUUGUGCGUGGAUCCUGGACCUUGCUCUAAUACAGACCCCGCUCCUGGAGUGUAAGCCAUGCUUGACGGCUCAGCUUUCUUGUCACUAAUGAGGUGGGAUGUGGUUGUGCAUUCAAAAUCUAGCAAGGACGAAGUGAGUGCACCACUGAUUAAACAUGGAGAGAAAUUUCUUUCCAAAGGGCUGUGUAAGAGGAGAAGCAGGAGAUGUAUGUAAGAUUUCUCAUUUGUGCAAUGCAUCCUCUGAACCACUGUGAUGCCACGGGCUGCUGAACUUUCCACAGGGGCCAUUAGGGACGAAAUCACACCGAUGGAAUGAAAGGGAAAAUAACCAAAGACAACAGCAACAGCUCAAAACACCAGAAAAAGCAGCAACACUAUAUCUAUCCGUCACUGGCCCAACUCGACAUCUGGAAAAGAACCCAGAGUAGCUGCCAACCAGAUGGCCCCUUGGUGUAAGUGGGAGGAGGUACCUGUCCAGGCACAUGCAGCCCUACACAGGCUGAAUUUCAGGCCUCCUCGUGCAGGGAACCCUCUUCCCAGCUGUACAUGGUCCCCUGAGCAUUCGCAUGUAAUUCUCUCAUCUUUCCAGCCAUUCUUUUUCUCUUUCCUUUUUUUAAGGCCUGGCAGCUACCUUUUUUUUUUUUUUUUUUAGGACCGUGAAGCUGCAGCCUCUGACAUGAUAUGUAGAUAAAAGACGUCACGGGGAUAAGAGCUAGAGAAAGCUUUAACGAGAAGAGCUUAGACCAUUUUCAAAGCUCCUCCACAGUGCACGGAGGGGCCCAAAGCUGGCGGAGCGCUGGGCGACACGCUCCCGCUCGCACCAAGGCCUCGCUCUGAUGAGCUGGGCAAUUGGGAGACUGUUUGAACAAACCAAAGAAAAAUAUCAAAAGGCAAAUUGGAGUUAGGGAGAAAAUGAAUAGCCCAUGAUCUCCAAGGGAGAUUACAGAGGUAAUGACAAAGCAGGCAGGUUUUUAGAGGCGCUGUUAUUCCAAGAAAGGUAAUUUUGUUCAACUUAUUUUUUUUUUAACGGAAAAGAGGAUGAAGAGAUCAGCACUAGCUAAAUCAUCACUGUCAGAUAAAAGAUAAAUCUUUCAUUAGGAACCAUAUCUUUGCAUGCCCUUUUGACAUUGAAGAAUAUAUUUGAUGUAAGGAUUUGGGGCUUUAUCAAAACUAUAGUAUUCUAAAAUAAACAAAACCACAAUGUCAUGUUUUAUUGGAGAACAGCCAUAAAAAAAUGAAAAGAACUUUUAAGAUUAAUAGCACAUUUUCCCUAUAGGAGCUUUGCUCUUUUUGAUAGCUUUUUAAGAUCCAUACUCACAGAAUGUUUGCAUAUUCAGCAAACAUAGACUUAGAUAACAAGAGGAGCUGCCUUUAACCCCUGGAGAUUCAGACUCCAUCCAGUCUUCCAGUGCCUGCCAAGCUAGAGAAAGGACAAAAGAAACCUUAACCAAGAAAAGACCCUCAAGAAACUAUCCUGCUGCUCCACCUCCUGGGACUUGGUGCUUCCACCAGGUCCCUUCUUCCUUCCUCUAUCCCCCCUCUCAUUGGUCCCCCCUCUUACCUGGCCUGGACUGUGCACCUGCCAAGUCUCCCUGGGACUGGCAUUGUGCCCAUGUCAUGGUUCCUGCCUUUGACUUCCCUAAGCCUGUGCCACAUCACCACACAGUCUGUUCCCAUCCCCCUGGGGAGAGCUCUGCCACCUGGCUGGUCUCCCAACUCAUUACCAUUGGCUGCAAUUCCCGAGUUCUUUGCCUUUCAUCAGCCCCUAGCUUCUCUGGACAUGAUCUUCUGACCAGCCAAGUCUCCUCCUCUUGCCUGCAGCUGUGUUCCCACCUUAAUAUCUGUCCUACUCUGGUAGACAAAUACCUUCCCCAGGUUUCCAAACCCUUUGUCUGGCUUAUAAAACACCACUUCUUUAGGAACAGUUCAUGGAUCUUCAGUUUUGAGCUCUGCCAUCAAUAGACUCAGAGACCCCCCUCUCUGUUUCUGUUCCAUUCUCUGGUGACUUAGACUCCUCAUCCUCUACCCAGUGUUUUUUCUCUUCCAAGAGUCUUCAUUACUCAGUGCAUGCUCCCUUAGAACAUCAGCUUCUAUGUGGCCCAUUUAGCCACUUUGUCUUCCCUCUGUCUCUCUGUUUCCUUCCCCCGCUCUCUCUCUAUCUCCCUAUCGGUUAUAGGUUUACCUUUCAGCUUCCCUUAAUUAUUGCCUGACUCUCUGAUAUUUUUGAGAAAUUUUAUUUGCACAGCUUACACCUUUUAUUUAUUUAUUUUGCAUGAGGUUCAAAACAUGCAAACAAAGGAAAAAACAGAGAGAAUUCUCCUACGAAUUGCUUGUUCAUGGGACGGGUGCCUCCUUCUACUCUAAUCAGUCUGGCUACAGGUUGUCCAUUUACAGAAAGUACUGUGGAUGUGACACGGUUUCUAGGAAGGUCUUGGGGUGAAGCAGGCACCAGGACAUGUCUAGCAUUUACCAUUUACUAUAAAGUAAAUAAGGUUCAAAUUGAAAAAUAAUUAAAAGGAUCGAGCUAUUCCAGGUGGAUUAAAAAAUGGCCUCAGAUCUUUCCAGAUUAUCAGAGUUCACCAAGUCAUCCAAUCCUUGGGGAAAUAAAAUUAAUGAAAUCGGGUUCUGAAAUUCUGAAGAAAAAGAGAAAACACACAAACUCAAAAAACAAAACAAAACAAAAAACUCUGAAGAGGCAGCUUUGUGUAGUAGAAGGAGGAGUGAAUGAGACCCAGAAAACUUGGGUUGGAGUUGUCUGUGGCACAUUGCAUGAGUCAUUUCUCUGGGGCCAUAGUGGACACUGUGACCCUGCCCCGAUCCCCAUCACGGGCCCAGGGACCCAUCUCCCAGCUGCUGUGGGCACUGAGAUCUAACAGCUCACAGCUGUUCCUUUCUCUGGGAACCAUCCACUUCUGAUAUCAGCUCCCCACUUUUUGGGGGAAAGCCUAUAGCCAGAGCCCUUCAGGCCAAGACUGAACUUUGCUGAGGUCACAUCCUUAACCAGCACUUGCUUCUUCCUUAUACUACUUCUCUUACUCCCUCAGAUGUGUUUCCUGAAGAGCACGCCCUCAGUAAAUCAUGGGCACCUGAAUCCCUGUCUCAGGCUCUGCUUUCAGGGAAUGUGUGACCUAAGAUAGCAACUCAGUUUACUUCUCUGUGCAGUGAAGUGGGAGGCUGGGUUGAUUAGCUCUGAGGUCCCUUCCUACUCCGAUAUUCCUUGGUUCUUUUUUGUGCAUUAUCUCACUUCUAUUUCCAAAAUAGACCAAGCUUAGAAGAAAACUUGUGAUAGUAUUGGAAUAGCUGCAUUUCCAUGUAGCUUACUACAUAACUGACAUAAGCUAAGGGUGUCUUAGCUAAUCAGAUCUCAACAUUUUCUUCGGUUACCCCUGGCAAUGGGAUUUGGAAGUGUUGCAGGGGUGACCACUGUGGUGUGAUUUUUAUCAAUGUGCUUAUAUUAUACACACACAAAGUUCCUGGCUUUCUGAACCAUGCAGACAUUUCAGAGUGCUGAGUUCCUGGAAUGUGAACCUAUUCAGUCACUUCUAUCAGCCUGCCUUGGUACUUGUUGACACCUAGGCAGAUAUUUGGAAGUCUCACAUGGUGUUCCUCACAUAGAACAAUUUGUAAGUCAUUUACAGCAAUAGGCAGACUGUGUUCCAAGUUAUUUGUAUCUAAAAAAUGUUGGUUGCACAUGAUUGUAUUAUUUUCAGUCUCGGCUUGGGUCAUGGAAAAACUGAAGAUGCAUUAGAUCAUCAAAGAAAAUGGCACAAACAACCCUGCAAAAGAAAGGAUCUUCUUCCAGAUUAAAUCUCUUAUAAUAUAACUCCUCUAUUGGAUGGUUAAUUCUAACUAUCCAAUGUCUCCCUUUUUUUUUCUUUAAUUUACCAGC